GGACCCGCACAAGCAGCGGAGCAUGUGGUUUAAUUCGAAGCAACGCGAAAAACCUUACCAAGGCUUGACAUCGUAUGACCGCCAUAGAGAUAUGGAAUUCCCUUCGGGGACAUAUAGACAGGUGGUGCAUGGUUGUCGUCAGCUCGUGUCGUGAGAUGUUGGGUUAAGUCCCGCAACGAGCGCAACCCUUAUCAGUAGUUGCCAAUAUUAAGUUAGGAACUCUACUGAGACUGCCGUGGACAACACGGAGGAAGGUGGGGAUGACGUCAAAUCAUCAUGCCCCUUACGCCUUGGGCUACACACGUGCUACAAUGGCUAUUACAAAGAGCAGCGAGACGGUAACGUUAAGCGAAUCUCAGAAAGAUAGUCCCAGUUCGGAUUGUGGGCUGCAACCCGCCCACAUGAAGUCGGAGUUGCUAGUAAUCCCGAAUCAGCAUGUCGGGGUGAAUGCGUUCCCGGGUCUU
Molecule: ribosomal RNA, 464 nt
Filed under: uncultured bacterium
Lineage: Bacteria
Description: bacterial SSU rRNA
Rfam family: Bacterial small subunit ribosomal RNA
Source: RNAcentral